CGGGAUUGGGGAGCUUGCUCCCCAUGAUUAGUGGCGCACGGGUGCGUAACACGUAUGUAACCUACCUUCGUCAGGAGGAUAGCCUCUCGAAAGAGAGAUUAACACCGCAUAACAUAGUGAAGUGGGGUCGCUUUACUAUCAAAUAUUUAUAGGACGAAGAUGGGCAUGCGGGACAUUAGCUAGUUAGUAAGGUAAUGGCUUACCAAGGCAAUGAUGUCUAGGGGAUCUGAGAGGAUGGCCCCCCACACUGGUACUGAGACACGGACCGGACUCCUACGGGAGGCAGCAGUAAGGAAUAUUGGUCAAUGGGCGCAAGCCUGAACCAGCCAUGCCGCGUGCAGGAAGACGGCCCUACGGGUUGUAAACUGCUUUUGCGCCGGAAUAAACCCUCUUACGUGUAAGAGGCUGAAUGUACGGCGAGAAUAAGGAUCGGAUAACUCCGUGCCAGCAGCCGCGGUAAUACGGAGGAUCCAAGCGUUAUCCGGAUUUAUCGGGUUUAACAGGGUGCGUACGCGGCCUGUUAAGUCAGGCGUGAAAGCCGGUAGCUCAACUACCGAAGUGCCUU
This 565-nucleotide ribosomal RNA is filed under the name uncultured Mucilaginibacter sp. RNAcentral's name for it is "bacterial SSU rRNA". It matches the Rfam family "Bacterial small subunit ribosomal RNA", at positions 67 to 627 of the family's 1533-position model. The record is from RNAcentral. Lineage: Bacteria; Pseudomonadati; Bacteroidota; Sphingobacteriia; Sphingobacteriales; Sphingobacteriaceae.